GACGAACGCUGGCGGCGUGCCUAAUACAUGCAAGUCGAACGCAGUGGCGGACGGGUGAGUAACACGUGGGUAACCUACCCAUCAGAGGGGGAUAACACUUGGAAACAGGUGCUAAUACCGCAUACUGAAGGAGGGGAUUGCGUCCUAUCAGCUUGUUGGUGGGGUAGUGGCCUACCAAGGCGACGACGGGUAGCCGGCCUGAGAGGGGGACCGGCCACAUUGGGACUGAGAUACGGCCCAAACUCCUACGGGAGGCAGCAGUGGGGAAUAUUGCACAAUGGGGGAAACCCUGAUGCAGCAACGCCGCGUGCGGGAUGACGGCCUUCGGGUUGUAAACCGCUUUCAGCCAUGACGCGGUAGUGGCAGAAGAAGCACCGGCUAACUACGUGCCAGCAGCCGCGGUAAUUC
RNAcentral lists this ribosomal RNA (408 nucleotides) under uncultured bacterium. Its description in RNAcentral is "partial 16S ribosomal RNA". It matches the Rfam family "Bacterial small subunit ribosomal RNA", at positions 28 to 526 of the family's 1533-position model. The record is from RNAcentral.